UACAGAGGUCUCAAGCGUUGUUCGGAUUCAUUGGGCGUAAAGGGUACGUAGGUGGCGCCGUAAGUCAGGUGUGAAAUUUCGGAGCUUAACUCCGAAACUGCAUUUGAUACUGCGGUGCUUGAGGACUGGAGAGGAGACUGGAAUUUACGGUGUAGCAGUGAAAUGCGUAGAGAUCGUAAGGAAGACCAGUGGCGAAGGCGGGUCUCUGGACAGUUCCUGACACUGAGGCACGAAGGCCAGGGGAGCAAACGGG
Molecule: ribosomal RNA, 253 nt
Filed under: uncultured bacterium
Lineage: Bacteria
Description: partial 16S ribosomal RNA
Rfam family: Bacterial small subunit ribosomal RNA
Source: RNAcentral